UACGGAGGGUGCAAGCGUUAUCCGGAAUCAUUGGGUUUAAAGGGUCCGUAGGCGGAUUAAUAAGUCAGGGGUGAAAUCCCACAGCUUAACUGUGGAAUUGCCCUUGAUACUGUUAGUCUUGAGUUAUAUGGAAGUAGAUAGAAUGUGUAGUGUAGCGGUGAAAUGCAUAGAUAUUACACGGAAUACCGAUUGCGAAGGCAGUCUACUACGUAUAUACUGACGCUAAUGGACGAAAGCGUGGGGAGCGAAC
This 250-nucleotide ribosomal RNA is filed under the name uncultured bacterium. Its description in RNAcentral is "partial 16S ribosomal RNA". It matches the Rfam family "Bacterial small subunit ribosomal RNA", at positions 524 to 773 of the family's 1533-position model. The record is from RNAcentral.